This is a long non-coding RNA of Papaver somniferum (opium poppy), 1426 nucleotides long. RefSeq lists it as uncharacterized. Lineage: Eukaryota; Viridiplantae; Streptophyta; Magnoliopsida; Ranunculales; Papaveraceae. The record is from RefSeq and is a predicted model, not a curated record. The transcript is spliced from 4 exons.
UUUUUGGAGACUAUUAUAAUUUUAGGGUUCAUAAAAAAAUUAUGUUUCUAAAAUUGGUUUACAAGAAGCUAAUCUUUUAAGCAGUUAGUUUUCCCUUCUCUUUAUUAUCUCAAUUGCAAGUUUAUAACACUAAUCUGAACUCAUGUAAUUACUAAUUAUUAUUUUUUCACAUCCGAAACCCUAGAUUUUUUUGCUUAAUCUGUUGAUUUUAACAGUAAUUGCUCCUAAACUAAUGUUCUUGAUGACUAUUAUGAAUGAUUGAAGCUAAUUUUGUUUGUGAAAACAUACUGUUAUUGUUCUUUUGAAAAGAAUCUGAAUGAUUCUUACUGUAAAAUUAUUAGUUUGUAUUGAAUCGGUAAAAACCGAUGGAAAAACCUUAACUGAUCGAGCUAAGUCGGACUGGUUAAAACCGAACCGAAAGUUGGUCUGUUCGGUCACAGUUUCAAUUUUGAAAACCGGCCAUAGGUCGGCUCGGUGGACGGUUUUGGCCAAAAAAUCGGGUCGUGUAGGCCUAGAUAGAGCAGAUAUAGUGAUUGGGGGGAACUUUAAAAAAAAUAAGUAUUGAUUCUGAAAAAUAAAUUUGUUUUGAACUGUUAAGUUCUCUGUUUCAUAUAAUAUUAUUCUUCUUUUGUAAAUUGAGUACAUAUUUGAUAUAUAUUGAAAAGGAAAAUGCGUCCAUUUUUUGAUGCACCGUCUAAUUCGGUACAUUUUUUGAUCUAAAUCCACCUGUUUUUUCAUGGUACAUAUCAGAUUGGUGACAUUCUUUUGUGAUCUACAUGGUAUUCAUAGUAGUCAGAUUCUUUGUGUCGUGCUGAUUCUUUUGGCUUACAUCUUGUCCUGUAUUUUAAGCCUCAUCGUCAAGUUUUCCAGGACAUUAGAUUGUCCACGGGAAGUGAAAGCAGUUUUUUAAUUCAACGAUUAAUUGGUAUUCUUAUAAUGGUUCUCAUAUUUUCUUUUCAUUCGCUGCCCAGUACUUCAGUAGUCAAGUUCAAUGUAUAUGGAGGCCAGUAGUCAGAUAAUUCCAUAUAAGAUCAUUUUGCUUGGCCUCGUUGUAGUAGAGAGUCUAAAUGUAAUUUCCACUUCUGGACAUCGCGACAUAUGGUUUUGGGACUUACAGCUGUAGAUGGGGAAAAACGAUUUGCUGGUUUUUUAAGGAAUUGAGGAGACGACCGUACGGAGGAGACUCCUCGAACGGAGCGAAAUGUUAAACCUUACACAGAUGCAUCGUUGCAAAGGGGUGCUUUAGAUUCGAGAGAUCAAUCUGUAGUACUCCGGCCUAAAUCAAGACAAUGACCGUUCCAGAGUAAAUUCGGUCACAAGAGAGGAUGGGUUGAUCUGUAGGAGGGAAGCUGAGAAAUGUGUGGAAUCAAUGGUAAUCAAAGAUUGUGGGUGUGUGAAUUCCGAAUACGAUAAGCUCUGAGUGAUU